GUGUGUCCAGUGUUCUGUGUUUGUUUGUUCCGGAUCUCUGAUUAAACUGCAACUCAACAUUACUGACUACACUCCUGGAAGACAGCCAAUUAAAGCUGAUUUAUGACCCUGACGGCGUGUGAUGUGUUUACGCUGCUGUUUUUAGCUCUUGUAGACAUGAGUCUCCCUGAAUACUGGGCCAAACGAAGGUGUCUCAAGCUUUGGAAGAUCAAAUGCUGCGCUGGUUAAUUAGUAGCUGCUGUGUUGGUGUCUGGCGGCCUGCGGGUGUUCGUUAGCUGAAGAUGCCCACAGGGAAAUUUACACGCUCCCUUUAGCUGCUGUUUUCCUCUUCCACACUCAAGAACACAAUAUCUGUGGAGUCUGACAGAAACCUAGUGUGUCUUUAAAUGACUGACUGAAUGAUCAAAACGUCUAAUGUGACGGGUUGUAAAUCGCUGUCUUCUAAUGUGACCCUGGUCUUCUGAUCUCAGAUCCGUUCCAGACCUCCUGAGACCGGGACAGAAUGUAACGUGUACCUGUGAGUCUCAUCACGGCCAGGUGAUGUGUCUGUGGAGGGUUAAUUUAUGACACAGAGAGAAGCUGAUAAUUGUAUCUCCUGUCUGCUGGUUCUGAUGUAUAGAGUUAAUAACGUUUGUCCUGCUUGAGUCCUGUGUUUGACCUCUUUCAGACCGUUCCUGAGUUACAGCUGUUCAAAGAAGGCCCUUUUAAUCUGCUAACGAGCGUGUUUGUGUUGUUGUUUGAUGGUGAAGCUGUCAGGAGGCUCGUAAAUGCAGGCACACCCUGUCGACUCAAUCUCGUAAACGCUUCACGCAACCCAAGGACACGGCGAACCGCCUGUUUUCAGCUGGUACUUUAGUCAUCCUUCAAUUAUUCGCUGUCUUUCUUCUGUGUUCAAAUUCAAACAGCUUUUGAAGCGUCAUGCUGAUGUUUAGGACUAAUUUUACAGCGUUUGACCUCUCCUUGUAAGGAUUUACAGGUCACACCUUAGGUUUUGGCUUAUUAAGUGCCGUUCGCAACACAUUCGAUCUGUUUUUGUCAAACAGGAUAUUCAGAUUCAUAUUUGUGUUUAUCUAUUUAGGCUUUUUGACUGGCACGUGGAGGUUGAAUCCCAAAAAGUCUAUAAAUUUUGAAUAUUACUGCUGCAACUUUAAAGUUAAUGUUAAACAGCACUGCAUCAUCAGGAUUUUAAGAAA
This is a long non-coding RNA of Cyprinus carpio (common carp), 1193 nucleotides long. RefSeq lists it as uncharacterized. NCBI's taxonomy places the organism in Eukaryota, Metazoa, Chordata, Actinopteri, Cypriniformes, Cyprinidae. The transcript has 4 exons. The record is from RefSeq and is a predicted model, not a curated record.